Pristis pectinata (smalltooth sawfish) is the source of this 355-nucleotide long non-coding RNA. RefSeq lists it as uncharacterized. The record is from RefSeq and is a predicted model, not a curated record. The transcript has 4 exons. NCBI's taxonomy places the organism in Eukaryota, Metazoa, Chordata, Chondrichthyes, Rhinopristiformes, Pristidae.
UUCCUAUCAUCAGUCGAGUGGAGAGCAGGAACUGGAGGAUACCUCGAACAAAAAAUACUAUCUAUAAUGUCCUUGCUGUGCCUUCAUCUCUCUUGACGUCAAAUGGAUUCAGCAAUGAAACCACCUCACUGACAGUAGACCCGCAGUCUGUGUUGAACUCAGCUGAGCCGCCGCAGUCUCGAGGGCCAGACAGGGACACUGACCAUCAGCAGGGGCUGUGUUCAGCUUCGAGUGGUGUGUCCAGCACCAGAGCAGGCAGUCAUCAGCCUCUCUCGGGAACGCAAGUUUCCAGGGAGAGGAAGCCCAUUACCAACAGGAGCCUGAGGUUUUCCGAAGGAACAGACAGCAGGUCUGG